GUGCUCGCUUUGGCAGCACAUCUACUAAAGUUGGAACGAUAUAGAGAUUAGCAUGGCCCCUGCACAAGGAUGACAUGCAAAUUUGUGAAGCGUUCCAUAUUAAA
Molecule: non-coding RNA, 104 nt
Organism: Myotis davidii
Lineage: Eukaryota; Metazoa; Chordata; Mammalia; Chiroptera; Vespertilionidae
Source: Rfam